CUUAUUGAAUCUUCGUAUUUUUACUAGUAUAAUUUUCGAAGAAAUUCUUCCAGUAAUUUAAGAAAGACUAGUUUGAAACAUUUCAUCGUCACCGAUUGAAACAUCUUCGUGUGCAACGUACUUAAUCAUCGAUCAAAUGAGAUAAACAAGUUGAUGGUGUGAAGCUACCUUAAAACAUAUUACCUCCACCUUCUUCUCUUUAGUUUCUUAUAUUACUUUCACUGGAGGACUAUCCUCUCAGUCAGUUAACUGUCUAUUCGCUAAGAUAAGAAAUAUUCUCAUAAGUUUUUUUCAUGCUAUCGAUUUAAAAAAAGAUGAAGAGUUUGAUCGUAAGUAUCGUCUUCGUUUUAUCGACUUCCUGUCUCGGAGAGAUCUCACACAUUUUGCCAGAAUAUUCGACAACUACCAGCACAGUACUACCACCUCCACAACCAUACAGUUUUCAAUACAAAGCUGGGCGAUAUCCAGGACACGUUGAUCGAAUUCAUCAAGAAUCCGGAGAUGGUUCUGGAACUAUUUAUGGAUCUUAUUCGUUCAUCGAUCCUAAAUAUAAAGUACGAAGAGUAGAAUAUGUAGCUGAUAAAAAUGGAUUUCAUCCAUCGUUGAUAAAUUACGACGAUACGCUUAAACAGCCUGUUGAUUCUGAAGCUGUGAAACUCGCGAAAGAAAAACAUUUGCAACUUUACAAAAAAUUAGCUGAAGCUAAUGCACAGGAUAUACAAAUAAAUAUACCAAAGGAUUCUGUCAGUGUAUUAAAAGCGAAGGACAAACAUUUACAACUCUACCAGAAGAUUGCCGAAGAACACGCGGCUAUCGCAUCUCAAAGAAAAGCAGAACGUGCAGCGUAUGAAGCAACUUCGAUCGUUAAUGACGUUAAUGAACAUCAAACAUAUUAAAAAAUACUAAUAAGAAAGAAAAAUUGUUCAUAUAAUGUCAAUAAUAUAAAUUUAACCGUAUAAAAUCUUUCGAAAUUUAAAAGCAAAAGUUUUUACUCGAUCCAAAUUUGAUAAAAAACGAAUAAUAGAUUAUAAUUGAUAUAUAAAACACGUGUUAUUAAUUAUAAAAAACACGUGAAUCACAUACAUAUGAGUACCAUUUUUGUAUGAGUAUCGGAAGUUUCUAUAUAUAUUAAAAAAAAGAUAAAUGCUAUAAUUACACUGUGUUGGUAUAAAAGUCUAGGCGUGACAAAAAAUAAAAUUGUCACUAUUUGUAUCUCCGAAAAGAUGAAGUUCUACGGUUUUUGGUUACUUCUUAUUGUUGUAUUCUGUAUUACGAUUGCUGUGGGUAGGAACAUUGAUUGUACCAAAAAUGCAUUUUUAAAAUCUAAAAGCAUCGCUUGUCGAGGAGGAGGUUGGACAGGAGGAAAUAAUGGAGGAGGGGAAGAAGGCAGUGGAACAAACGGAGGUGCUACUGAUGGUGCAACAGGAGCUACGCCUAACAUGGCAUCUAAUUUAAUGCGCACUGCACAACAAGCAAUGGAUUCCAUGAUGAAUAUGAUGUCAAAUAUGAAUCCAAUGGGGUAAAUCAUAUAUUUGUUUGAAAUUAUUGCACCAUGUAUUAGAUAAUCGAACUUGCAAACAUAGUAAUAUUAUAGAUACUUUAUAAUCAUUAUGUUCAUGAUCAAAAAUGCUUUUUGUAGUUAUUAAAAAUAUUACUAUUAAAUAAUAAAAUAAUAAUUAAUGAAUAC
Molecule: RNA transcript, 1687 nt
Organism: Vespula pensylvanica (western yellowjacket)
Lineage: Eukaryota; Metazoa; Arthropoda; Insecta; Hymenoptera; Vespidae
Gene: Cpr57A
Exons: 6
Source: RefSeq, a predicted model, not a curated record